UGGGGAAUUUUGGACAAUGGACGCAAGUCUGAUCCAGCCAUGCCGCGUGCGGGAAGAAGGCCUUCGGGUUGUAAACCGCUUUUGUCAGGGAAGAAACGCUCCGAGUUAAUACCUUGGGGUAAUGACGGUACCUGAAGAAUAAGCACCGGCUAACUACGUGCCAGCAGCCGCGGUAAUACGUAGGGUGCAAGCGUUAAUCGGAAUUACUGGGCGUAAAGCGUGCGCAGGCGGUUAUGCAAGACAGAUGUGAAAUCCCCGGGCUCAACCUGGGAACUGCAUUUGUGACUGCAUAGCUAGAGUACGGUGAGGGGGAUGGAAUUCCGCGUGUAGCAGUGAAAUGCGUAGAUAUGCGGAGGAACACCGAUGGCGAAGGCAAUCCCCUGGACCUGUACUGACGCUC
RNAcentral lists this ribosomal RNA (400 nucleotides) under uncultured bacterium. Its description in RNAcentral is "bacterial SSU rRNA". It matches the Rfam family "Bacterial small subunit ribosomal RNA", at positions 355 to 748 of the family's 1533-position model. The record is from RNAcentral.